Molecule: long non-coding RNA, 1200 nt
Filed under: Macaca fascicularis (crab-eating macaque)
Lineage: Eukaryota; Metazoa; Chordata; Mammalia; Primates; Cercopithecidae
Description: lncRNA (ENSMFAG00000065371.1)
Source: RNAcentral
AUUACAGGCGCUGUUACCAUGCCCGGCUAAUUUUUGGAUUUUUAGUAGAGGUGGGGUUUCACCAUGUUGGCCAGGCUGGUCUCAAACUCCUGACCUCAAGGGAUCCUCCCACCUCAGCCUACCAAAGUGCUAGGAUUACAGUCCUGAGCCACUGCACCUGGCCAACAUAGUCAUUCUUAAAAGAGUUUUGGAAUUUAUAUUUUACAACUGUAUUCCUAACAUAACGUUAAUUCAUUAUGCAAAACACUCCUUGCAAUGGAAACAGAAAUAAAGAAUAGCCACUUCACAGCAAUAACAUGAACUCCUGGAUUUAAGACACAACCAAUAUCAACAGGUGGAGAGCAUCUUCUGCAUACGUGCUCCGCCUUUGAAAACUGCAGCCAUUUAUCACUACCAAAUAGCAUUUCUUUCAUUGGUCUUCUUGUAAGAUUGAUAAAUCUUAGAUAAAUUAAUCCAGAAUUAACUGAAUGUAAGUUAGAAUCUCAAGCAAGGGAUACUAAGUAGAUAAAAGUGUUGCUCAAUGUACUGGAUACUAUGAUUGAUUUUAUAGGCAGGAGAGUUGUUUUCUGUGGGAAUCACAGACAAGAGAUUCAGCGUGUAUUCCUACUUUAGGCAACACAACAUUUCUCCUUUAUCUUCCUUUUCUUGUCCUAUCUGGAUUAGUUCUCUCUUGUCCCUGACAGACUGAGAAACUGACUCUAAUGCCUCAGAGUGCAUUCAUGUGAAUUUAUAACACAAUAAUGUUUAUCAGCCUUUGCUCCCAGUGCAGGGAUUUUGCGACUGAAAGACUGUUCAAAACAUGAUAAUUUGGAUUUUUAGUCUUUGGGGGCAUCCUAAAUAAUAAGUUUAGCAUCGGAGAGCUCGAGUUCCCCAAAAUCUAAAAUAAUAUUUUUUCAAAUACUUGAGUGAUCAGUUACAGACGCUAAUCUCCAAAACUCCCAAUACGGGUUCUAAGGCUAGGUGAGACUAUCCUCUACCCCAGAAGAACGUGCAGUUUAAGGACAGACCGCUGAGGUGGAGCUGGGCCUUUCCUGCAAGUAAGUGAAUAUGAUGGUAGGGUAUACCUGACAGCAUAGUUUGACAGGGGACAUAGACUUUCAAGGAGAGAAUAGACAUGAAAUAGACACAUGCGGAAGUAUAGUCAAAUUGAGGAAAGAUGACACUUAAGCCAGAGUGAUGCUUAUUCACCGCUCUGUGCAA